Molecule: small nucleolar RNA, 130 nt
Organism: Suricata suricatta (meerkat)
Lineage: Eukaryota; Metazoa; Chordata; Mammalia; Carnivora; Herpestidae
Gene: SNORA70
Rfam family: Small nucleolar RNA SNORA70
About the family: snoRNA U70 seems to be exclusive to mammals and is a member of the H/ACA class of snoRNA which contain H (ANANNA) and ACA box motifs.
Source: Ensembl
CUGGCCAAUUAAGCCGACCAUGCGCUCUCCCCAUGGAGGCCUGGCUUGCGGCGGCCACAGACAACACCCCUUCAGCAGGAUAUGCAGCCUGUUGCUCCCAUGGCUGCCUUAUAGGACCUCGGGGACAGCC